This 322-nucleotide ribosomal RNA is filed under the name uncultured Smithella sp. RNAcentral describes it as "bacterial SSU rRNA". It matches the Rfam family "Bacterial small subunit ribosomal RNA", at positions 1057 to 1382 of the family's 1533-position model. The record is from RNAcentral. Lineage: Bacteria; Pseudomonadati; Thermodesulfobacteriota; Syntrophia; Syntrophales; Smithellaceae.
AGCUCGUGUCGUGAGAUGUUGGGUUAAGUCCCGCAACGAGCGCAACCCUUAUCUUUAAUUGCCAUCAUUCAGUUGGGCACUUUAGAGAGACUGCCGGUGUUAAACCGGAGGAAGUGGGAUGACGUCAAGUCCUCAUGGCCUUUAUGCUUAGGGCUACACACGUGCUACAAUGGGUGGUACAAAGAGAAGCCAACUCGCGAGAGUGCGCCAAUCUCAAAAAGCCAUCCUCAGUUCGGAUUGAAGUCUGCAACUCGACUUCAUGAAGUUGGAAUCGCUAGUAAUCGCGGAUCAGCAUGCCGCGGUCGAAUACGUUCCGGGCCUU